Molecule: ribosomal RNA, 493 nt
Filed under: uncultured bacterium
Lineage: Bacteria
Description: partial 16S ribosomal RNA
Rfam family: Bacterial small subunit ribosomal RNA
Source: RNAcentral
AUUGAACGCUGGCGGCAUGCCUUACACAUGCAAGUCGGACGGUAACAGGUUAAGCUGACGAGUGGCGAACGGGUGAGUAAUGUAUCGGAAUGUGCCCAGUCGUGGGGGAUAACUGCUCGAAAGAGCAGCUAAUACCGCAUACGAUCUACGGAUGAAAGCGGGGGAUCGCAAGACCUCGCGCGAUUGGAGCGGCCGAUAUCUGAUUAGCUAGUUGGUGGGGUAAAAGCCCAACAAGGCGACGAUCAGUAGCUGGUCUGAGAGGACGACCAGCCACACUGGGACUGAGACACGGCCCAGACUCCUACGGGAGGCAGCAGUGGGGAAUUUUGGACAAUGGGGGCAACCCUGAUCCAGCCAUGCCGCGUGCAGGAAGAAGGCCUUCGGGUUGUAAACUGCUUUUGUCAGGGAAGAAAUCCUUUGGGCUAAUACCCUGAGGGGAUGACGGUACCUGAAGAAUAAGCACCGGCUAACUACGUGCCAGCCGCCGCGGUAA